UUUAUGGAGAGUUUGAUCCUGGCUCAGGAUGAACGCUGGCGGCGUGCCUAAUACAUGCAAGUCGAGCGAACGGACGAGAAGCUUGCUUCUCUGAUGUUAGCGGCGGACGGGUGAGUAACACGUGGAUAACCUACCUAUAAGACUGGGAUAACUUCGGGAAACCGGAGCUAAUACCGGAUAAUAUUUUGAACCGCAUGGUUCAAAAGUGAAAGACGGUCUUGCUGUCACUUAUAGAUGGAUCCGCGCUGCAUUAGCUAGUUGGUAAGGUAACGGCUUACCAAGGCAACGAUGCAUAGCCGACCUGAGAGGGUGAUCGGCCACACUGGAACUGAGACACGGUCCAGACUCCUACGGGAGGCAGCAGUAGGGAAUCUUCCGCAAUGGGCGAAAGCCUGACGGAGCAACGCCGCGUGAGUGAUGAAGGUCUUCGGAUCGUAAAACUCUGUUAUUAGGGAAGAACAUAUGUGUAAGUAACUGUGCACAUCUUGACGGUACCUAAUCAGAAAGCCACGGCUAACUACGUGCCAGCAGCCGCGGUAAUACGUAGGUGGCAAGCGUUAUCCGGAAUUAUUGGGCGUAAAGCGCGCGUAGGCGGUUUUUUAAGUCUGAUGUGAAAGCCCACGGCUCAACCGUGGAGGGUCAUUGGAAACUGGAAAACUUGAGUGCAGAAGAGGAAAGUGGAAUUCCAUGUGUAGCGGUGAAAUGCGCAGAGAUAUGGAGGAACACCAGUGGCGAAGGCGACUUUCUGGUCUGUAACUGACGCUGAUGUGCGAAAGCGUGGGGAUCAAACAGGAUUAGAUACCCUGGUAGUCCACGCCGUAAACGAUGAGUGCUAAGUGUUAGGGGGUUUCCGCCCCUUAGUGCUG
This 866-nucleotide ribosomal RNA is filed under the name Staphylococcus aureus. RNAcentral's name for it is "bacterial SSU rRNA". It matches the Rfam family "Bacterial small subunit ribosomal RNA", at positions 1 to 848 of the family's 1533-position model. The record is from RNAcentral. Lineage: Bacteria; Bacillati; Bacillota; Bacilli; Caryophanales; Staphylococcaceae.